GAUGAACGCUGGCGGCGUGCUUAACACAUGCAAGUCGAGCGAAGCGAUUUUAAGGAAGCCUUCGGGUGGAAUUAAGAUUGACUUAGCGGCGGACGGGUGAGUAACGCGUGGGUAACCUGCCUCAUACAGGGGGAUAACAGUUAGAAAUGACUGCUAAUACCGCAUAAGCGCACAGUGUUGCAUAGCACAGUGUGAAAAACUCCGGUGGUAUGAGAUGGACCCGCGUCUGAUUAGGUAGUUGGUGGGGUAACGGCCCACCAAGCCGACGAUCAGUAGCCGACCUGAGAGGGUGACCGGCCACAUUGGGACUGAGACACGGCCCAAACUCCUACGGGAGGCAGCAGUGGGGAAUAUUGGACAAUGGGGGAAACCCUGAUCCAGCGACGCCGCGUGACUGAAGAAGUAUUUCGGUAUGUAAAGGUCUAUCGGCAGGGAAGAAAAUGACGGUACCUGACUAAGAAGCCCCGGCUAACUACGUGCCAGCAGCCGCUGUAA
RNAcentral lists this ribosomal RNA (495 nucleotides) under uncultured bacterium. RNAcentral describes it as "partial 16S ribosomal RNA". It matches the Rfam family "Bacterial small subunit ribosomal RNA", at positions 28 to 523 of the family's 1533-position model. The record is from RNAcentral.